AAUAGUUUAAUUUUGGCUAAAAAAAUGAAAGUUAAUUAAUCACAUAGCUUAUUUUUAUAUAAAAUUAAAAUAGUAUGAGUUUUAUUUUUCUAGUGAUGAAAUUUUAAUGUUAUACGAAAGUAUGAUUAAGAAUUAGCUUGGUUAGGGGGAUAAGGCACAGUGCCAGCAUCUGCGGUUAUUCUGUCUCCUAUAUUUUUUAACAAUUUGAAUAACCCAUAAAUAAUUAAUUAACAGUUUAAAGUUUAUAUUAUUAUUAUAAUUUUGUGGGUUUUUAUAUUUAAUUAUUUUUUGCAAAGUAAAUCUGAUACUUGUGUAGUGAUAAAUAUAUUAAAAUUUUAGUUAAACUAAAACAAUUUGGCAGCUAAUUAUUCCUAAUGGGGGAUGGUGUAUUGUAAAAGAUGAUCCGCUUAAUUUAGAUUAGCCUUAUUUAUUUAGUUAGUGUACAUCCGGUUAUAUACUUACGUUGUAAAACAAUUAUAGGUGUAAAAUGAGACUAUUUAUUUUGAUAGUUUCGUGUUUUAAGCUAGGUCAAUGUGCUGCUUAUAGUGAGGAAACUAUGCCAUACAUUAAUAAAAAUUUUAUUUUUCAAUAAGGUUUUUUAGGACUCAUUAGUAAGUUUAAAUAAAUUUGUUAAGCUGAAUCAGGUUUUAAUUAGGGUACACACCGCCCGUCAAUCUCGAAAAAUUUUGAGAUAAGUCGUAACAUGGUAGCUUUGGGGGAACCGGAAGCUAGUAACA
Molecule: non-coding RNA, 737 nt
Filed under: Lamellodiscus spari
Lineage: Eukaryota; Metazoa; Platyhelminthes; Monogenea; Dactylogyridea; Diplectanidae
Source: RNAcentral